CUUUCUUCCUCUCUCUACAAAAAUGAUGCCUCUAUUAAAGCAAAAACGUUUUGAAACUCAGCUUUCACUCUCUGCUUUAGUUUAAUUUGUCCAUUUUCUAGCAUGAGCCAGCCCUGCUGGAGUGUCAAAGCGUGGCCACUCACCACCACUGCCGCUUCCACCAGAGUCUAAGAAAGCUUCUCCACCUCCAAGGAAAGUAUCUCCUAUACCUGAUUCAUCUGUGAUUCAUGUGGAUCAGCUCAGCAGGAAUGUUAACGAAAAUCAUUUCACAG
Capsicum annuum is the source of this 272-nucleotide long non-coding RNA. RefSeq lists it as uncharacterized. The record is from RefSeq and is a predicted model, not a curated record. Lineage: Eukaryota; Viridiplantae; Streptophyta; Magnoliopsida; Solanales; Solanaceae. The transcript is spliced from 3 exons.